CAUUAGCUAGUUGGUAAGGUAACGGCUUACCAAGGCGAUGAUGCAUAGCCGAGUUGAGAGACUGAUCGGCCACAAUGGAACUGAGACACGGUCCAUACUCCUACGGGAGGCAGCAGUAGGGAAUCUUCCACAAUGGGCGCAAGCCUGAUGGAGCAACACCGCGUGAGUGAAGAAGGGUUUCGGCUCGUAAAGCUCUGUUGUUGGAGAAGAACGUGCGUGAGAGUAACUGUUCACGCAGUGACGGUAUCCAACCAGAAAGUCACGGCUAACUACGUGCCAGCAGCCGCGGUAAUACGUAGGUGGCAAGCGUUAUCCGGAUUUAUUGGGCGUAAAGCGAGCGCAGGCGGUUGCUUAGGUCUGAUGUGAAAGCCUUCGGCUUAACCGAAGAAGUGCAUCGGAAACCGGGCGACUUGAGUGCAGAAGAGGACAGUGGAACUCCAUGUGUAGCGGUGGAAUGCGUAGAUAUAUGGAAGAACACCAGUGGCGAAGGCGGCUGUCUGGUCUGCAACUGACGCUGAGGCUCGAAAGCAUGGGUAGCGAACAGGAUUAGAUACCCUGGUAGUCCAUGCCGUA
This 573-nucleotide ribosomal RNA is filed under the name uncultured bacterium. Its description in RNAcentral is "bacterial SSU rRNA". It matches the Rfam family "Bacterial small subunit ribosomal RNA", at positions 239 to 804 of the family's 1533-position model. The record is from RNAcentral.